GCCGAGGUAGCUCAGUUGGUAGAGCAAUGGAUUGAAAAUCCAUGUGUCGAGAGUUCAAGUCUCUCCUUCGGCA
RNAcentral lists this transfer RNA (73 nucleotides) under Oltmannsiellopsis viridis. RNAcentral's name for it is "tRNA-Phe". It matches the Rfam family "tRNA". From Rfam's summary of the family: Transfer RNA (tRNA) molecules are approximately 80 nucleotides in length. Their secondary structure includes four short double-helical elements and three loops (D, anti-codon, and T loops). Lineage: Eukaryota; Viridiplantae; Chlorophyta; Ulvophyceae; Oltmannsiellopsidales; Oltmannsiellopsidaceae. The record is from RNAcentral.